GAUCGUAUCAAACGCACUUAUCGUGGUGGGAAGGCGCAUGGGCAGGAUGGUGUAACCAUCCGGCGAAAGCACCCAUGCGCUACCGAAGGCUCCUCAAGGGGCCUUUUUUUAUGCCUUCAA
Molecule: small RNA, 120 nt
Filed under: Affinirhizobium rhizoryzae
Lineage: Bacteria; Pseudomonadati; Pseudomonadota; Alphaproteobacteria; Hyphomicrobiales; Rhizobiaceae
Also listed under: 1 other name
Description: sRNA Atu_C8
Rfam family: Rhizobiales sRNA Atu_C8
Source: RNAcentral